Molecule: long non-coding RNA, 1130 nt
Organism: Aedes albopictus (Asian tiger mosquito)
Lineage: Eukaryota; Metazoa; Arthropoda; Insecta; Diptera; Culicidae
Exons: 3
Source: RefSeq, a predicted model, not a curated record
UACCACAGACGAAUUUAUACAGACGUAAGAGUGCGGUACAAACCACUAAAAAUUUUCGGUACCAUGUUUUCUUCUUUUUCCUUAUGCAGAAGUUCACCGAGGGAGCUAGUGAUUACCAUUUUGCGAUGGUUUUUUACGCAUCGGUUCACCCCUAUCACAAGAUUUUGACAGCUUUUCGCCGCCUUCGCCGUCUUUCGCCGCGCCUUCGCCGCACAAAAACUCGUUUUGUUUUUGUUUUGGCGUUUACGUAUUUAUUAGUGCGCGGUCCGAAAGUGGAAUCUGUUUCGGUCGUUUCGGUGGAUGCAAUCCGUUGUGACGGUUCUUGAAGGAUGAAUUCCUCAAUGACAAGAAUGUGAUGAUUCUCACCGGAUGUGCUCACAAGGGAUUGUUGAAAAUCAUAGGCGGGGUAUGGAGCAAACGAUUCGGCUUAUUUAAUCGUAGCUGGAUUCAACAAGCGCGAGAACCGAUACUACGCUGAGCUGGAACCGGAAGUUUAUGGAGACGUCAAGUUCUUGCAGGAAGGAGAGGAAGAUUUAAGUUCCACCGAGGAUCAUUUGUGCAAAAAGCAACCAUAAAACGAGUGCUCGUCAUAGCUUCCGAUCGAGGUUCGGACAUUUACGCAGAUGGAGUCUGAAAUUCUACUCUACAGAAGCACACUGCCACUUAACUGCGAUUUGCAUUCAUGCAAGGACAUCCUGGCCCUUUACGGUACCAUCGAUACUGGUCUAAUUCUGGAUGCAGUGAGGGAUUUAGUGUCCCAUAUUCGGGACCAACCAACUGGGGCUGUGCUGUUGAGGAGAAUCGCAAGCUUUAUUAGUGCAUCAUCAAUUUGCUGCACAUUUUGGCGACAUUAAAGGGCUUCAGGAUUUUCGUCGGCUUCCCGCUGUUCCUGCCAACCAUCGCUGAUAACUCUCCGGGGAGUAAACAUGCUGCUUGACGACCAUCAUUUCUUGGGGAACUACCUCCAUCGCUAAAUAAAGUGUCGUCACAGAGAAAGAGACGUAACAAUUAGAACAAAUUUCAUAGAAAACAUCGUUACGAAAACACAACCGCCAAAUACUAAUCGUACUGUAAUUGGCCGGACCACCACUAGGUGGCGGUAGGCAAACAGGAACAGAAACGAUACCAGC